Long non-coding RNA from Xenia sp. Carnegie-2017, 405 nucleotides. RefSeq lists it as uncharacterized. The transcript has 2 exons. NCBI's taxonomy places the organism in Eukaryota, Metazoa, Cnidaria, Anthozoa, Malacalcyonacea, Xeniidae. The record is from RefSeq and is a predicted model, not a curated record.
CUUCGAAAAUUCAAUUGAUGUUUUCCAGUAAAUGAACACAAAAAUGUAUGAACAGUGGGAAUAAAAUUUCAGGCUGGCUUCGCCAUGCAGUGAAUUUUUAAUGUUAAUUUUACGCACACAUUCCUUAUGUACUUACCUCGAGAUGAUAUACGACAUCUUUUCUUUUAUUUACGUUCAUAGUUUUAUAGUACAAGGAAUGAAUGAACAGCAAAAGUGGAGCUAAGAACUUAUCUAUCGUGCAGGAAAACGUUUGUGAAAACAUAACAAGUUGAAAAGUUUUAUGAUUAAAUAAAAAAAAUAUCAAUGUCAUUCUCUAUUGUAACAAUAAUAUAAUGAUGAAAGUAAUACUCUAAUGUAAUUAAUACAAUAAAGUAACGAACCUGGACCAGUGUCCGCCAACAGUAA